GGUGGCUCAGUGGUAGAGCACUUGCUUUGCAUGCAUGAGACCCUGGGUUCAAUUCCUGAGCACCA
Molecule: transfer RNA, 65 nt
Filed under: Dipodomys ordii (Ord's kangaroo rat)
Lineage: Eukaryota; Metazoa; Chordata; Mammalia; Rodentia; Heteromyidae
Rfam family: tRNA
About the family: Transfer RNA (tRNA) molecules are approximately 80 nucleotides in length.
Source: Rfam by way of RNAcentral